CCUACGGGGGGCAGCAGUGGGGAAUAUUGGGCAAUGGGCGCAAGCCUGACCCAGCAACGCCGCGUGAAGGAAGAAGGCUUUCGGGUUGUAAACUUCUUUUAUCAGGGACGAAGCAAGUGACGGUACCUGACGAAUAAGCCACGGCUAACUACGUGCCAGCCGCCGGGGUCAUACGUAGGUGGCAAGCGAUAAUCGGAUUUACUGGGUGGAAAGGGCGUGUAGGAGGGAGUGAAAGUCAGAUGUGAAAAAUAUGGGUUCAAACCAUAGACUGCAAAUGAAACUGUACUGCUUGAGUGCUGGAGAGGCAAUCGGAAGUCCGUGUGUAGCGGUGAAAUGCGUAGAUAUACGGAGGAACACCAGUGGCGAAGGCGGAUUGCUGGACAGAAACUGACGCUGAGGCGCGAAAGCGUGGGGAGCAAACAGGAUUAGAUACCCCAGUAGUC
Molecule: ribosomal RNA, 443 nt
Filed under: uncultured bacterium
Lineage: Bacteria
Description: partial 16S ribosomal RNA
Rfam family: Bacterial small subunit ribosomal RNA
Source: RNAcentral